RNAcentral lists this ribosomal RNA (407 nucleotides) under uncultured bacterium. RNAcentral describes it as "partial 16S ribosomal RNA". It matches the Rfam family "Bacterial small subunit ribosomal RNA", at positions 30 to 526 of the family's 1533-position model. The record is from RNAcentral.
AUUGAACGCUGGCGGCAGGCCUACCACAUGCAAGUCGAGCGGAGCGGCGGACAGGUGAGUAAUAUAUGGGACUCCGCCGUGUAGUGGGGGGAAAAGUCCGGACACGGGCGCUAAUUACGCAUACUAACAGAUGAGCCUAGGACGGAUUGUCUAGUUGGUGGGGUAAAGGCCUACCAAGGCGACGGUCCGUAACUGGUCUGGGAGGAUGAUCAGUCACACUGGAACUGAGACACGGUCCAGACUCCUACGGGAGGCAGCAGUGGGGAAUAUUGGACAAUGGGCGAAAGCCUGAUCCAGCCAUGCCGCGUGUGUGAAGAAGGUCUUCGGAUUGUAAAGCACUUUAAGUUGGGAGGCGUUACCAGCAGAAUAAGCACCGGCUAACUUCGUGCCAGCAGCCGCGGUAAUAC